UGAGCAACCUGCCCUUGACCCUGGAAUAACAGCUGGAAACAGCUGCUAAUACCGGAUACGACCUUCGAUGGCAUCAUCUGGAGGUGGAAAGCUCCGACGGUCAAGGAUGGGCUCGCGGCCUAUCAGCUUGUUGGUGAGGUAACGGCUCACCAAGGCUUCGACGGGUAGCCGGCCUGAGAGGGCGACCGGCCACACUGGGACUGAGAUAUGGCCCAGACCUCUACGGGAGG
Molecule: ribosomal RNA, 230 nt
Filed under: uncultured bacterium
Lineage: Bacteria
Description: partial 16S ribosomal RNA
Rfam family: Bacterial small subunit ribosomal RNA
Source: RNAcentral